CCUGAGCCAUCAUGGGAAAUAAGAAAAAAUGGAGCUGACUCAUGUGAAAAAUCUGGAACAAAGAAGUUGCAGCAAAAAAAAAAAAAAAAAACAACAACAACUAAGGAAUGAUUAAUAGAAUUGCUCUUCAGCAGUUCAGUUCAGUUAGUCUAUUGGAACUUGGAAAUGACAUCUUUACUGUUUAUUACUCUCUCCAUUUCAAUUUGUUUGUACUAUUCUGACCUGAAACGAAGUUUACUUAAAUGUAUGUUGUGUAUGCCAAUAAAAUGAGUCAAUGCUCAAUAAUGGAUUACGUCCACGUACACAGUUUCUUCCAUGUUCUGGCUAAGCUUCUUUCAUUCAAGAGAAUUCUUUCAUGUUCUAGAGAGCCUUUGAACUAGUUUAGUAUAAAACAAUCUAUAGUUUAUUAUACCACGCACACCAAUUGUUUUUGAAAAUGGCUGAUGACCAGCUCCAUAUUUUUUUCUUUCCAAUGAUGGCGCAGGGCCACAUAAUUCCUACUUUAGACAUGGCCAAAUUGUUCGUUUCGCGUGGUGCACAGGCAACUAUUAUCACCACUCCACUGAACUUACCCAUCUUCAUCCAAGCCAUUGAAAAAAUCAAACACUUGGGACUGGAAAUUUACGUCAAAGCCAUCAGAUUCCCAGCAGUGGAAGCUGGUUUGCCUGAAGGGUGUGAAAGAAUGGAUCAAUUGAAUUCUGAUGAUUUGGUCCCCAAAUUCUUCAAGGCCACCACCAUGCUUCAGCAACAACUCGAGCUACUCCUACAUGAAUGUCACCCCAAUGCUCUCAUUGCUGACAUGUUCUUCCCUUGGGCUACAGAAUCAGCGGCCAAAUUUGAUAUUCCAAGAUUGGUAUUUCAUGGGAUGGGCUUCUUUGCCCUUAGUGCUUCCGAGAACCUUAGGCACUACAAGCCUCAGAAGAAUGUGUGUUCGGAUACUGAACCUUUCGUUGUCCCGAAUCUUCCCCACAAGGAUGAAAUUAGCCCCAUUAUGAUCAAGAAGAAACAUACAUGACUAACUUCAUCGAACAAGUGAAGGAAUCCGAGUCAACAAGUUUUGGGGUCAGUUGUCAAUAGCUUGUAUGAGCUUGAACCAGAUUAUGCUGAUUAUUACAGAAAGGUUUUGGGUAAACGAGCAUGGCACAUUGGACCCAUUUUGCUCUGCAACAGAAAAAAUGAGGAAAAAUUCCCAAAAAGUGACGACAAACAUGAGUGCUUGCAAUGGCUGGACACAGAGAAACACAAUCCAGUUAUCUAUGUUUGUUUCAGGAGCCUGUCAAACUUUACUGAUUCCCAAAUUGAAGAAAUUGCAUUGGGCCUUGAAACUUCAGAGCAAGAAUUCAUAUGGGUAGUGAGGAAAGGCAAGAUCCUAGAAGGAUUCGAGGAAAGAACGAAAGGAACAGGCUUAAUCAUAAGAGGAUGGGCACCCCAAGUGCUAAUUCUUGAUCACGAAGCUAUAGGAGCUUUUGUGACUCACUGGGGGUGGAAUUCGAUGCUUGAAGGAGUAUCAGCAGGGGUUCCAAUGGUGACUUGGCCUAUGUUUGCAGAUCAAUUCUUCAAUGAGCAAUUGAUAACACAAGUAGUGAGAAUUGGGAGUCGCAGUUGGGGCAGAGCAACGGAGCAUAAUAGUGGAAAGUGUCAAAAGUGAAGCAAUUGCAAAGGCAAUGAAGCGUGUAGUGAUUGGGGAAGAAGCAAAGGAAAUGAGGAGCAGAGCAACAGAAGUUAAGAAAAUGGCGAACAAGGCUGUUGAAGGUGGAUCAUCUUACGGUGAUUUGAAUGCACUCUUUCAAGAACUAAGAACCUUUAAUUUUCCACAAGUAAAAUUAUAUAA
Solanum dulcamara is the source of this 1831-nucleotide RNA transcript. It is a transcript of the gene named scopoletin glucosyltransferase-like, with no coding region annotated. The transcript has 2 exons. Lineage: Eukaryota; Viridiplantae; Streptophyta; Magnoliopsida; Solanales; Solanaceae. The record is from RefSeq and is a predicted model, not a curated record.